This 74-nucleotide transfer RNA is filed under the name Borrelia crocidurae str. Achema. RNAcentral's name for it is "tRNA-Met (CAT) (tRNA-Met-CAT-1-1)". It matches the Rfam family "tRNA". Rfam says of the family: Transfer RNA (tRNA) molecules are approximately 80 nucleotides in length. Their secondary structure includes four short double-helical elements and three loops (D, anti-codon, and T loops). The record is from RNAcentral. Lineage: Bacteria; Pseudomonadati; Spirochaetota; Spirochaetia; Spirochaetales; Borreliaceae. RNAcentral also lists the same sequence under 1 other name.
GCUGAUGUAGCUCAGUUGGUUAGAGCACUCGGCUCAUAUCCGAGUGGUCGUGGGUUCAAGUCCCUCCAUCAGCA